CAGUGGUGCUGAAGGGAGUCAGCAGCCGCUGACAGUUGGGGUCACCCUGGCCUGUGCAAGGGACAGGGCUCCCCAUGGCCUCCUGGUUGCCUCCCUCAGGGCUGGUAGCAGCACUCCCUGGCCACACGCCAUGGCGCUCCCUCAGGCGAGACUGAGAGGCCAGUGAGGCCUGCACGGUGGCCUCAGCUUCUGGGGUGCCCUUGCUGGGCAGUCCCCUCAGGCCCCUGGCCCUCUCCCACAGCCAUCAAAUCUGGCCAGCGCCCUCGAACCUGGUGAUGCUGAGACACAGGUCAAGUGGCAGCUCAAGAUGUCAGGUCGGGCUUUGCGGACAGAAUUGGACUCGGCGCAGAAGAGGAGGGCGUCAGCGUUUCGGGGACGGUUGGCAGCAGAGGGUGCUGCCCUGCUCUCCGUGGGUGAGAGGUGACUCGAGGAGACCGCAGGAGCCCCUUGGAGGUGAAGCCACAGGUGGCAUCCCGGAAUCGGCAGGAGGCUGAGACGUAGACCCUUGCGUGCUGCUGUCAGAGGAGAGACCCGAAGACUACUUGAGACUGUUGCUUGAAAGCAGUGUCGGCAGCACCUGGACCUGGACUUGUGACGCUGAUGGAUUUCAGCUCUAAAGAGAAACUCCUGUCUAUUCCCAGACAGAGAGAAAGAGCAGAAGAGCAGACUACCUGCAAAGGACAGACUUAGGUCUGAGUUCACUGACACCAUCCUGUCCGUGCACCCCUCUGACGUGCUGGACAUGCCCGUGGACCCGAACGAACCCACGUACUGCCUUUGCCACCAGGUCUCCUAUGGGGAGAUGAUUGGCUGUGACAAUCCAGACUGUCCAAUUGAGUGGUUUCACUUUGCCUGCGUGGACCUUACCACGAAACCCAAAGGAAAAUGAUUUCAUUUAAAUAAAAACCUGUAGUCUGGGCAACAUCGGGAGACCCCAAGUCUACAAAAAAUACAAAAAUUAGCUGGGCGUGGUGGUGCGUGCCUGUGGUCCCAACUACCUGGGAGGCGGAGGCGGGAGGAUGGCUUGAGCCUGGAAGUCCGAGGCUUCAGUGAGCUGAGAUCGCGCCACUGCACUCCAGCCUGGGCGGGAGAGCAAGACCCUGUCUCAAAUAAAUAAAUAAAAAGAUAAAAACCUG
RNAcentral lists this small RNA (1136 nucleotides) under Pan troglodytes (chimpanzee). RNAcentral's name for it is "processed transcript". Lineage: Eukaryota; Metazoa; Chordata; Mammalia; Primates; Hominidae. The record is from RNAcentral.